RNAcentral lists this ribosomal RNA (425 nucleotides) under uncultured bacterium. RNAcentral's name for it is "bacterial SSU rRNA". It matches the Rfam family "Bacterial small subunit ribosomal RNA", at positions 354 to 796 of the family's 1533-position model. The record is from RNAcentral.
GUGGGGAAUAUUGGACAAUGGGCGCAAGCCUGAUCCAGCCAUGCCGCGUGAGUGAUGAAGGCCCUAGGGUUGUAAAGCUCUUUUGUGCGGGAAGAUAAUGACUGUACCGCAAGAAUAAGCCCCGGCUAACUUCGUGCCAGCAGCCGCGGUAAUACGAAGGGGGCUAGCGUUGCUCGGAAUCACUGGGCGUAAAGCGCACGUAGGCGGACUCUUAAGUCGGUGGUGAAAUCCUGGAGCUCAACUCCAGAACUGCCUUCGAUACUGGGAGUCUCGAGUUCGGGAGAGGUGAGUGGAACUGCGAGUGUAGAGGUGAAAUUCGUAGAUAUUCGCAAGAACACCAGUGGCGAAGGCGGCUCACUGGCCCGAUACUGACGCUGAGGUGCGAAAGCGUGGGGAGCAAACAGGAUUAGAAACCCGGGUAGUCC